RNAcentral lists this long non-coding RNA (441 nucleotides) under Elaeis guineensis (African oil palm). RNAcentral describes it as "long non-coding RNA (EGUI_LNC051900)". The record is from RNAcentral. Lineage: Eukaryota; Viridiplantae; Streptophyta; Magnoliopsida; Arecales; Arecaceae.
CAAUCGGAUCCUGAAAUGUUCCACAACCCAUUUACUCUGUUGCCACUAUGCCUCUGGCCGCCCAUAUGAUUUGUUUGAAUAUUUGGUUUUCCCUUAAACUUAUUCUUCAUGAACAGAUAAAAUCAGUUAGAUGCCAUUACGUGUAUUGGUUGUCAUCUUUGUCCAGCUCCACAAAUGAAAGAUAUGCUUUAUGAAUGAAAAUUAUGAAUGAAUUGUUAAGCAUGCCUAGAAUUUCUUGAUCCACCCCACUCCAUGAUUCUGUUUUAGAAAUUUAGAGAAGUGUUGGCAACAAGCGUGUGAGGUAGUGGCACUAUCGAUGUCCCUUGCUGGUUGCGUCCCAGCCAUACGGGAGCACACAUAACAGCUGCCCAGGUCAUAGAUCCUAUGAGCAUGAGCCACAACUGUGAGGGGUGCAUGUGCCAGCUGCACAGGUUGUGGGUC